RNAcentral lists this ribosomal RNA (459 nucleotides) under uncultured bacterium. RNAcentral's name for it is "partial 16S ribosomal RNA". It matches the Rfam family "Bacterial small subunit ribosomal RNA", at positions 338 to 795 of the family's 1533-position model. The record is from RNAcentral.
CCUACGGGUGGCAGCAGUGAGGAAUAUUGGUCAAUGGUCGGGAGACUGAACCAGCCAAGCCGCGUGAGGGAGGAAGGUACAGAGUAUCGUAAACCUCUUUUGUCAGGGAACAAAGGCGGGGACGUGUCCCCGGAUGAGUGUACCUGAAGAAAAAGCAUCGGCUAACUCCGUGCCAGCAGCCGCGGUAAUACGGAGGAGGCGAGCGUUAUCCGGAUUCAUGGGGUUUAAGGGGUGCGCGGGCGGUCUGUUAAGUCCGCGGUAAAAGCCCGGGGCUCACCCCCGGCCCGCCGUUGAAACUGGCAGUCUCGAGUUGGAGAGAAGUAUGCGGAAUGCGCGGUGUAGCGGUGAAAUGCAUAGAUAUCGCGCAGAACUCCGAUUGCGAAGGCAGCAUGCCGGCUCCACACUGACGCUGAGGCACGAAAGCGUGGGUAUCGAACAGGAUUAGAUACCCUUGUAGUC